Molecule: ribosomal RNA, 406 nt
Filed under: uncultured bacterium
Lineage: Bacteria
Description: partial 16S ribosomal RNA
Rfam family: Bacterial small subunit ribosomal RNA
Source: RNAcentral
UGGGGAAUAUUGGACAAUGGGCGGAAGCCUGAUCCAGCAACGCCGCGUGAGGGAUGACGGCCUUCGGGUUGUAAACCUCUUUCAGUACCGACGAAGCGGAAGUGACGGUAGGUACAGAAGAAGCACCGGCCAACUACGUGCCAGCAGCCGCGGUAAUACGUAGGGUGCGAGCGUUGUCCGGAAUUAUUGGGCGUAAAGGGCUCGUAGGCGGUUUGUCGCGUCGGGAGUGAAAACACUGGGCUUAACUCAGUGCUUGCUUCCGAUACGGGCAGACUAGAGGCAUGCAGGGGAGAACGGAAUUCCUGGUGUAGCGGUGAAAUGCGCAGAUAUCAGGAGGAACACCGGUGGCGAAGGCGGUUCUCUGGGCAUGUCCUGACGCUGAGGAGCGAAAGUGUGGGGAGCGAAC